UGCGUAGGCGGAUUAAUAAGUCAGUGGUGAAAUCUUUCGGCUCAACCGAGAAACUGCCAUUGAUACUGUUAAUCUUGAGUUCGGUUGAGGUAGGCGGAAUGUAUAAUGUAGCGGUGAAAUGCUUAGAUAUUACACAGAACACCAAUUGCGUAGGCAGCUUACUAGACCGACACUGACGCUGAGGCACGAAAGCGUGGGGAGCGAACAGGAUUAGAUACCCUGGUAGUC
This 228-nucleotide ribosomal RNA is filed under the name uncultured bacterium. Its description in RNAcentral is "partial 16S ribosomal RNA". It matches the Rfam family "Bacterial small subunit ribosomal RNA", at positions 568 to 795 of the family's 1533-position model. The record is from RNAcentral.